RNAcentral lists this ribosomal RNA (460 nucleotides) under uncultured bacterium. RNAcentral's name for it is "partial 16S ribosomal RNA". It matches the Rfam family "Bacterial small subunit ribosomal RNA", at positions 338 to 795 of the family's 1533-position model. The record is from RNAcentral.
CCUACGGGAGGCAGCAGUGAGGAAUAUUGGUCAAUGGACGAGAGUCUGAACCAGCCAAGUAGCGUGAAGGAUGACUGCCCUAUGGGUUGUAAACUUCUUUUAUAUGGGAAUAAAAUGUUCCACGUGUGGGCUUUUGUAUAGACCCUAUGAAUAAGGAUCGGCUAACUCCGUGCCAGCAGCCGCGGUAAUACGGAGGAUCCGAGUGUUAUCCGGAUUUAUUGGGUUUAAAGGGAGCGUAGGUGGAUUGUUAAGUCAGGUGUGAAAGUUUGGGGCUCAACCGUAAAAGUGCAGUUGAAACUGGCAGUCUUGAGUAAAGUAGAGGUGGGCGGAAUUCGUGGUGUAGCGGUGAAAUGCUUAGAUAUCACGAAGAACUCCGAUUGCGAAGGCAGCAUACUGGAGUGCAACUGACACUGAGGCUCGAAAGUGUGGGUAUCAAACAGGAUUAGAUACCCUUGUAGUC